ACCUACUUAACUCAGUGGUUAGAGUAUCGCUUUCAUAAGGCAAGAGUCAUUGGUUCAAAUCCAAUAGUAGGUA
Molecule: transfer RNA, 73 nt
Filed under: Trichomanes trollii
Lineage: Eukaryota; Viridiplantae; Streptophyta; Polypodiopsida; Hymenophyllales; Hymenophyllaceae
Description: tRNA-Met
Rfam family: tRNA
About the family: Transfer RNA (tRNA) molecules are approximately 80 nucleotides in length. Their secondary structure includes four short double-helical elements and three loops (D, anti-codon, and T loops). Further hydrogen bonds mediate the characteristic L-shaped molecular structure. tRNAs have two regions of fundamental functional importance: the anti-codon, which is responsible for specific mRNA codon recognition, and the 3' end, to which the tRNAs corresponding amino acid is attached (by aminoacyl-tRNA synthetases). tRNAs cope with the degeneracy of the genetic code in two manners: having more than one tRNA (with a specific anti-codon) for a particular amino acid; and 'wobble' base-pairing, i.e. permitting non-standard base-pairing at the 3rd anti-codon position.
Source: RNAcentral